This 624-nucleotide small RNA is filed under the name Cryptococcus neoformans H99. Its description in RNAcentral is "Cryptococcus neoformans var. grubii H99 hypothetical RNA". The record is from RNAcentral. Lineage: Eukaryota; Fungi; Basidiomycota; Tremellomycetes; Tremellales; Cryptococcaceae.
CUCCCUGAGACUGUUUGCGCGAAAGUGCUGAAGGAAUACCAGUUCAACACGACCAUCUUGGUCCUGUUCCAUCCCCAUGGACUGAAUUCCAUGUCAAUGUCGACUCCUUGACUGGUGACAAAGUAAAUACCUGAAAAGCCAUCAACUCCUGCAGGUUGGAAAUGUCGCAAGCUAGGGUCGAGAGGAAUCCAUUGGAAGAGGACGAAGAAGAAACUGCCGAAAACGUCCAACCACGCUCCACAAUGAAUUGCAGCCCACAAGCUGCAACAGUGUUCAUCAGAAUAACGGACUUCGGGAUGUCCUUUCGCCGAGGUUGGUGUGUGUACCGCAACCAGCAAGAUAUCACUCCCUGACACGUAAUGCGGUACUCGGGAGCAUUGGGACACCCUUGUCCAGCAAAUCGCAGCUUCCUUGGAUAUCCAAAUUAGUACCACCUCGCCUCGACGUCGGAAGGUAUCUCGAUUGUACAGCUGAUGUCAUGGAUCGUGUACAAGCUCAUCAGGGAUGCGUUCCAGCGGCAUAGGAGAUCAACAAAGGCUCGGGUUCACCGACUGACAACCAAGCCGGACAGAUCCACCCUAUCCACUAAUAGCAUAAUAGCAUGAAGAGCGCAUUCAAGCCAGG